Molecule: small RNA, 675 nt
Filed under: Pan troglodytes (chimpanzee)
Lineage: Eukaryota; Metazoa; Chordata; Mammalia; Primates; Hominidae
Description: retained intron
Source: RNAcentral
CUGGGACUGGCAGAAGGGGGCCAUGGAUGAGAUGUCUGAGCAGGCUGAGUCGUGGAUGACAAGCCGAGGAGAGGGAAACUUGGGUGAGCAUUUGUCGUCGGGGUGCUGCCACCAGCCCCCAAGCAGGUGUGAGUUGCUUUGGAGGGCCUGCCACUGCUUCUUGGCUCCCAGAAAGGGGGCAUCUCCAGCUGUGCUGAGGCUUCUGGGUUGUGGCUGAGGCUUGGGUUGUGGUUCAGCUGGGGCACCUGGACUACAUUCUGUGCCGGGGGCCUGGCCUUGCCUCCCCAGAAUUAAUCAUCACAGCUGGUGGGGAGAAUGUGCCCCCUGUGCCCAUCGAGGAGGCCGUGAAGAUGGAGCUGCCCAUCAUCAGCAACGCCAUGCUCAUUGGGGACCAGAGGAAGUUCCUGUCCAUGCUGCUCACCUUGAAGUGCACUCUGGACCCAGACACCUCUGACCAGACUGACAAUCUGACUGAACAAGCUGUGGAGUUCUGCCAGAGGGUGGGCAGCAGAGCCACCACAGUGUCCGAGAUCGUAGAGAAGAAGGAUGAGGCCGUGUACCAGGCCAUCGAAGAGGGGAUCCGGAGGGUCAACAUGAACGCGGCGGCCCGGCCCUACCACAUCCAGAAGUGGGCCAUUCUCGAGAGAGACUUCUCCAUUUCGGGUGGAGAGUUGG